ACUUGUCCACACUGUGCCUGGCCGCCUUAAGCACUCCUGGGUUAUUGGUCUUUAUUGGUUUGGGAAAUCCUGGUUUCACACUGGAGUUUAAAUCUUUGGAACAAAAAUCUGAAAGAAACAAAAGGACCAGAAGAAAACAUUGAUGUCAGUGGAAUACUGGAUCAGUGGGUCGUGCCUCAUCCCUGGUGGUACCCAAGUUCUCUCAGCUGUGUGGCCCUCGCUCCUCCUCCACCGUCACCUGUGUGCCUACCUCCUAUUUACUCCACCACCUGAAUAUUGUGCGUCCUCAUUAUGUUCUUUACUUGAAGUUGAGGACAGAUGCCACGGAUAUAUAUAGUAUAUAUAUAUCCAAUAGUAUAAUUCCUGUCCCCUAGUCCCUGCUUACACAGCCUUUUUCAGAACCCAGGUUUAUUCUCAACAUGGGGCCCCAGGCAGUAGAACUCCAGACAGGAAAUGUGUUAAUUUGCCCAGACUGGUUUUUGAGGCUGGCUGUACUCCCCACAGAAUCCCUCCUGCACUCUCACACCUCGUCAGAGUGGCCUGUCCAUGUCUGCUCAGGCACACCUUAAACACAGCCUGUGACUCCUGAGGUGCUGAUAUCCAUAUCUUCUCCCUCCCAGUGAAUGUUGUCCCUUGAGUUUUGGGUCCAGAGCCUGGUGUGCUGUGGGUGUGAGAGCGUGGUCAGCUGAUUGCCACCUAGACCUGUUUUCCUGUACCAAGGAGUUCAUAUUUGUGUGUAAAAAAUGGGGGAACAGUAUGAGGGGCAUCUAUCUUACAGCCAGGCAGAACUUGGAAUCCUAGCUUCCCACUUGGGACUCCCUGCUCCCGGAGGCAUGGGGCUAACUGAUCCUGAAGAGCCACCUUCCUGGAGACCCUGAUUCAGUCUCUUGCCCAGCUCAUUCAUGGGAUCAGUUCCCAGCAUCCCAGAGGCGGGGUGGCUGCAGCGAGGGGAACAGGGCUUGGCCAGGCGUUUGCAUUUGGCCACGUAGCUUCAGAGUCUGGACUUUUUUUACUAGGAAAAUAAAAGAAUCAGUGAACCAGUAGAUGAUGCUUGCCCUGCUGGCUGGCUCCCCUCAUUCAGGUUCUAAGAAGCAAUGGAAACAGCCUUUUGCAGUGCUUCACUUAAGGUUCUCUGACAGAUCACUGACAUCCAGGAAGGACCUCCCUGUUGACCUGAGCUAUCUCCACCUCUCAUAUCCGGUGUGACUGGAGAUGUACCAACAGACCUGACCACCCCACUCUGGGUAUCACGAUUCUAGCGGCCAUACAGACAGACAGACUGCUCUAAAGACCAUGUUUGAUAUAAAGGCCGACUCCUUCCCUGGCCUUCGAUGCUGAAACCUUCCCCACAAAAGCUCCACAGAAGCCUCCUGCCUUCUGAUUCUGAGGUGGCAUCUACCUACAGUAUUCAUUCCUAACUCCCAGGUCAAGGUAAAAGGCAUUUCUCCCUCCACUUCCACUGGGCCUUAAUGACCACCCACUCAGUCACUGGGAUGGGGGAGCAUCUUGUCCUCAAAAGGAACUUGGGAUCUACGGUUGCUAUAAUAACACAGCCACAACAGCAGCCAGCACUUGCCUCUCGGUGUCUAGCUCCAGGCAGUCAUCAGCACACUAACAUCUCAGCAAGGUCUUAAAAAGAUAAGUUUACCAAUCUAAAGCCCUCUAUCCCACCCCCCCCCCACCCCCCACUAGCCUCGAGCUUUUCGUUUUUAUUGCAUUUUCGUUUUUACUCACUUAUUUCUGUGUGUGAGCAUCAUCUAUAGUCCACUAUCUGCAGCCCACUACAGGUCUUCUUAUGUGGGCCAAGGGGAGGGUGGUAAAGUAGAAAAGUCAUGGUCUGUUGGACACCUGUCCUUGGGGCAUCCCAUUGUGUGACCAAGCAGGGUCUCCUGGCAAAAGGCUCCCAAGCUAGAGACACAAGAUUCAGUUACAGCUUAUCAUUGCUGCCAGGCUUCCUCGGCACGGGCCACUAAAGCCCUUUAUCCUAAGAAAAAUAACAUGCCGCUAGUGUUCUUGUUCAAUAGGGCUUUGGGACUGGGUCUGGUCUGUAGAUUGCUCAUAGCUGGAUCCUACCCAGUGACCUCUGGACUGUCAGCAUGCUCUCCAGCCCUUUAUGAUGUUCCCACAGAAGCCCGAGGAAGUCUGAGGACUGGGAUGGCGAUGGAGUAAAUGCCAGGCUCUGCCCAGCUGCAGGUUCUCACGGAGUAGCCCUGGCUUGCCUCAAACACACAAACCUUCAUCUUCUCCCAAGACAUGUGAUGCUGAUCCAAGAUCCAAAAUCCCAUGCCUGGCUGAAUUGGACUAUUGUCCUGGGCUACAGGCAUACCUACCUUCAGGUGUGGCCUGGUGUUUAGAUCAGGCUGACCACAGCUGGAGACACUGUUUGUCAGGUCUCACCAUCUGUGCCAAGGAUCUCUUCCCCCCAUCACACAGAGAGUUCACUUCACCUGUUGUGCCCGUGUUGCAAGACCCCCCAGCAAGACCACCACAGAGCCAGUAUCCGAUGCAGUACAAAGGGGUUUACUAAAACUAGCAAGCCCGAACUUGGUCCACGUCCAACACACUGGCUGGUCAGGUGAAGGAGGACGGCCCUGAGCUCUCAGAGUGCAGGGUUUUUAAAGGGAAAAACUGCAGGCUAGGGGGCCCAAGCCUUUGCAUUUCAGGUCAUACUUCAGUUAACAGGAACAUUUAGCCAAGAGAAGAACUACAGAAGACAAAACACAUUUGGAGACUCUCCCAGUACCAUUGGAGACUUUGAUGGAUUAAGCCUUUGUUUUAGCUUCAGAACUAUGUCUUGGCCAGCAGCCUACCUACCCUGGGUGUGGGGGCGUGGGGAGGGUCCGCCUUGACCGGAGUCUUAGCUGGGUGUCUGUGUCUCUGGAACUUGGUUCAGCGUCUUAUCUUAGUGCUAUUAGGAAAAAAUGGAGUUUGUCUUGCUCUCUCACACCAACCACAUUCUUAUAAAAUAGCUUAAUUUAUCUAAUACCCAAAAUGAACUCCUGUUUUAGAGUUUACAGAAAGCUGCCAUUUUCUUUGAGUCUCAGAACACAGUUCAAAGCUGCUUAAAUCACUGUCUCCCUGGUUAAAACUCUAAUUACAGCUCCUUUGUUUUUGUCUAGACUGACAUGCCUCCAGUGGGUCACAGGGAUAUGGCACGAAAUUCAAAAGAGUGGUUUGUGAUUGCAAAUAAACUCAAAAACAGCUAAUGCUGCUGGAGAGAGGAAAUAAGAGGUGAUGUCUAUUCUUGGUUGUCAGCUUGACUAUAUCUAGAAUUUACUAAGUCACUGGGUACACCUAUUAGGAAUUUAUUUCUUAAUUAGGUCAUUUGAAGUGGGAAGAUUUACUUCUAAUCCAGAUCUUUUGAGGUGAGAAGAUCCACCUUUAAUCUGGGCCUCACCAUUUGCUGGCAUCCUAUUUAAAGAACCUGGAAGAAGGAACCUCUCUUUGCCUGUUUGCUCUCUCUGGCGAGUUCAUUCCUUCAGGACAUUGGAACCUACUUCUUCAGGAUCAUGGUGUGAUAUCCAGCCUGUAGGUCAUUCUCAUAAAUCCCAUAUAUAUUUAUUGUUUAAAUUCUGUUACUCGAGAAAGCCCUGAGUAAUACAGAAGGAAAGAGGAAGACACCACAGUGAAGAUCUCACUCUGCACAUAAGGUCCCCAGGGUGGCAGCCAUCAGGCCACCUGUGUUACCUAUGUCUGGACAGGUGUCACAUGUCCAUUCCUCACUCCUGGGAAAUGAACAUUCCCAUGGGGAUGAGAGAGCUCAGAGAGCCCCAUUCAGAUUGCUGUUUACUUCUAUUGCAGAUGCAGGUCGUGUACCAAAGGAGAGCUGGCUCCCACUUCCAGUCUCUAUUCCUACAGAAAGUCAAGGUCAAGUGAGCCUGUGCCCUUCUGCUCCACGGGAGGCUUUUGUCCUCCCAGUUGAAGUCAUUGGUUCAACCCGCUGGACUGUGGUGGUUCCCUGACUAUCAUCUGUUCCCUCUCUGCAGGGAGUCAGCCUUUGCUCAAGUCUCCUCUGGAGUAGUGUCACAUGUCACACAACACACACCUAGUGGCUUUUUCUCUUCGUCUGUUAGAUAGCUUUGGGAUGUUUGCUCAUACAUGCCUGGCCUUUGGCUUCUCUGCAAGAGCUUUGUGGCUUUUUUUUUUUUUUUUAAUUUAAAAGCUGCAACAUUGUCAUUUUCAGGGAAGCCCUGACAUCUAGUGGCUGUUGUUGUCAAGGUAAAACACAGCUCGUUCUCCACAAGGAGCAACAACAGUUUGUUUGAAGCCAAAUGUGAGUGACUCUGCCAGGGAACAUGGAUUCAGGUCGCCCUAAGUGACCAGGUGCCUCCCACGGUUAGAUAACAUUUGUAGUUACAGAGAAAAAAAAAAAAGAGUCAAAGAUGGGCGGUGGUGGAACACGCCUUUAAUCCCAGCACUCAGGAGACAGAACCAGGCGGAUCUCUGUGAGUUCGAGGCCAGCCUGGUCUACAGAUCGAGAUCCAGGACAGGCAUCAAAACUACACAGAGAAACCCUGUCUCAAAAAAAAGAGUCAAAAGUCAAUGCAGUUAUGAGAUAGGUUGGGUAAAUGGGAUAUGGCAGAGUGGGGAAGACUCGGCUACAGGUUUCACAUGCUAUUGGACUUUCAGGUUGGUGACAGCUAGGAGUUUCCCCGUCCACUGCAAAUAUCUGACCUAAUUGUCACAAAGAUACCCAGGCACAUACAAAGGAGGGUCAUUGAUGUCCAUGGAAAGGACUGACGAUGGCCAAAGACGCUUUUGGCUUUCAACUGUAACACCCCACUUCUCAAGAAUCAUCACAUUUUAACCAGUCAGUCAGUGGGCAGACUCUUCAAGACAGAUGUGACCUUUCCAGAGAACUUAGUCUCACAGCAGAUAAGGAAGUCAUCCUAUAAGGCCAGAGCCACAGCAGCGUUUCAGGCAAAGACUCCAUGGUAACAAGGGACCUACAUCAGUCCUUCCUAAAGAUGGCACUGAUUGGCUUAAUCUUGUCCCAGUGGAUUCCAUCUCUCAAAAGUCUGACUGUCUCUGCAUUGCCAUGCUGGGGUCUAGAUUUUUUUCGUCCAUAUCCUGUCACCAGGUUGCUGCCGCUCUAAUUUUCUGUGAACAAAGUGUGGAAGAUUCCUCAUUUGGUCUCUGUGGACCUCAUGGCCACCAUCCAACAUAGGUUGUUAGUUGGAAAUUUUUCAUCUAUUAUCACCACCCCUAUUUGUGUUAGGUUUUUACUUGUUAAAGCCAUGGUGGCCCUUGUUAUCAUCACCCCCUUCUUUAUACCAGGAGAGCAAAUACUCAAUAUUGACAUCAACCAAGACCAAGAAUAGAAUCAGGGGAAAGGAACUGAUCCAACUGAACAGUCAUCCCUUCUAUCAGACCUUAAUUCCCUAUAGAAAUUUCAAACUUCUGAGCUGGGAAGGGAGGCAUUGAGAAAUCCUACCUUCCCCCCGCCCAGUAGAACCUCCCUUAGUGGGAACCUUGUUGAGAAGGGAGGAUUUUGGAUGUCCUUCUGACACUGCUCAUUUCUUUCCUAACCUGAGGAGAGAGGGAUGAAGAGGAGCAGAGGCUGCAGCCGGGGCAGAUGGUUCAGACACCCGUGACUCUUGGGACAAGAGAGCAAGAGAGGUGACCAAGGGGAUCCCAUGUAGAAGGUAUUCUCUCCUCUUCAGUCAUUUUGAUGCCUUUGUUGUUUCAGAAAAAAAGAGGGUCUCACAAGUCCCUUUCUCCAGCAAAGAGCAUAAUCCAUUUCCGUCUGACUCACGGGGCUUUUUCACUAAGAUAUUCUAGGAAAAGCUGACACACCCAGUCUUCACCUGUUGUUCCUUCUCCCCUUUUGUUCAAGGGUUGUUUUCCUAAUACUGGGGCAUGUGCUGGAAGACCAUCAGGGGGUUAUUGGUAUUGGUUCAGAUCUUUCUACACAUCCCUUUACCCAAGGGGAAGCCAUGUUUCCCAUCCCAAUCCCGUGUCUGUUAUGUUUAGACCAGAGACUCAAUUCUCCUUUUCUAUGGCUAAAACACCGAGAAAGCAUCAAAGUGGCCCUUCUUAGUUCCUAGUGCAUUGGUAGAAACCUCAGAUAAGAGUCCCUGUGCACCACCUUGUGCCUUAUGAACAUAUCCUGGAGACCAGUCCCGUCACAUCACAGGAAGAGCUGUCUUGCACUCAAUUCCUCCAUCUCCAAUUGGGUCCCUCACAGGAGACUGGAAUGACAGACUGGGAAUUCACACUAACAUUACCUUGGAUUAUCUUUCUCAGUCACACUCACUUUUCUGUCUCUUGGUUCAGGAGUAGUCUUCCUGGAACCUGAGCAUUCAUUCACCCCCAUGGACUAUCAGGUAAAGGUUAGCUGGAGACUCCUCAUUUCUCCCUUUCCUGGUCCUACCUGAGUUACUCAGCAUCCCUGCAUUGGACGUCUCUUGUAUUCCACCUGGACCUUUGUUUCACAUUUUUUUUUAAUAACUCAUGCCUGCUGUCUCAGUCACAUUUUCAGCCUCCACCGGAGUCCAGCCACCAAGGAAGUACUUUACACUCUGGGAUUCUUACUUUGCUUCCUGUGUAGGGUGAGCAUUUGGCCACUCAGCUUUUAGGUGUCCCUUGGUCCCUGAUCCAGGUAAUGUCUCCUCUCCCAGGGCCAUAGCAACAAGGAUUCACCUUCUAGGAUGAGAAUAAGUUCCAACAACUCCUAGUCAUGGUGAGAGAGUCCCACACCAGGAUGUAAGAAAUGACCCUGGAGAUGUAAGAGAAUGUAGCUGGAGUUUUUCUGGUCCUGCCUGGCCCAUGGUCAGGACAAAUCUCUCUUACCCGCCAGUCCGACAGCUGCUCAGACUCAACCGAGUAAACACACAGAGACUUAUAUUGCUUACAAACUGUAUGGCUGUGGCAGGCUUCUUGUUAUCUAAUUCUUCUAUCUUAAAUUAACCCAUGUCUAUUAGUCUAAAGUUGCCACGUGGCUCGUGGCUUACUAGUACCUUACAUCUCGCUUGUCAUGGCAGUGGUUGGUAGUGUCUCUCUGCCUCAGCCUUCUACUUCCCAGAAUUCUCUUCUCUGCUUGUCCCACCUAUACUUCCUGCCUGGCUACUGGCCAAUUAGUAUUUUAUUUAUUAACCAAUCAGAGCAACACAUUUGACAUACAGAACAUCACGGCAAGAGAACAACCCACAAUCCCAAGUAUUUUGACAAGCCAAAAAGUUUUACUUCUGCAGAAGGGUGUAGAGCCCCUCUAAGCCUAGCAAGCACUUCUAGAAUGGACCCAUGGAGUUAUUAUUCCUGAUGCAAAGGGAUCCUGUGGCCAGAGCUGGUCUUCCCACUCUUACAAUCCUUGCAUAGUAGGCUAGCUCAAAUAGCACAGCUGAUAAGCAAGGAGCAGGAUGCAACCUGGAGCCCAUACUGUUAGCUUAGGAAAGUGCUGGCUAGGGGGUGAAUUUGCCAGCUGGUGUUUUGACUAAUCUCUGUGAGGAUGGGAGUUUCUUGGUCUCCUUUAACCCUUUGAUGGAAAAGAUGUCCAUUUCAUUUGUAUUUCCCACAUUCUUAGUUCAGUUUUAAUGGGUCAUGUAUGUGUUCAUUUUUUCCAAGGUUUUCUAGUUUAAUGGAAUAUAAACUUUUAACCUAUUCCCUAGUGGUUCUCUGGACUUCAGUGACUCCUGUUGUAAUAUCACUUCAGUAUCUACUUUUGUUAAAAAAUCUAUUCCUCUCUUGUUUAUGCUUUUUAAUUUUAUCUAAAAUGUGUCUUUUUUUUGUAAUAAGGGACACUUUGUUUCUUAGGUCUUUUGUGUUCUUUGAGUUUCCAUUAUUUUUUCUUUCAUCUCUGAUCAUUAUUUCUUCUUUCUAUCAGCUUCCUUGUGUCUCAUUUCCUCUUGGUUUUCUCUUACCUUGAAGUCUACAGUUACAUGUUUCUUUGAGAUAACUUUUUUUAUCCUUUGCUGUACUCAUCCAAAAGUACUGUUACUUAUGUAUUAAGUAAAUUUUAUUGUAAAGAACUUGCAAAUAAAAAACAUAUCACAGGGAAAUUAGCCACACUCAAAGUCCACUCAUCUCAAUGAGCUUUUAGAAAUACUGUGAGAACAGCCAAUCCCAAGCUGUGGAACUUCACAUUAUAUUUUACACUUUUGCUAUCAAACAUAUUUCUAUGCAUUUACCUACUGUGGUGGCUUAAAAAAAAUGGCCCUUAAUGGGAGUGGCACUAUUAGAAUGUGGCUUUGUGAAGUAGGUGUGGCCUUGUUAGAGGAAGUGUGUCACUGUGGGGGCAGGCUUUGAGGUCUCUUUUGCUCAAGCUUCCCUCAGUGUGACGAUCAGUCAACUUUCUGUCUCCUCUGAGUCAAGAUGUAAAGACUGUCAGCUCCAGUACCACAUCUGCCUUGCAGGCCUCCAUGCUCUCCGCUGUGAUGAUAAUGGACUGAACAUCUGAAAUUGUAAGUGAACCACCUCAGUUAAAUGUUUCCUUUAUAAGAGUUGCCAUGGUUGUGGUUUUGUGGUUUUCCUUCACAGCAAUAAAACCCAAAAAAGAUACCUACCACAAAAAAAAUCGAUAGCUCAAUUAAAACAAUCGUAACAGUUAACUUUAUCACAUCUUUCAUGGUUUAAAUGUCUGUUAUCUGCAUUCAGACCUUUCUUAUCACCUAACAUUUGCUCUUUCUUGUUAUACUCUACCUGUUUAUAUGUUUGCUUGUGUUUGUGUGUGUAUACAUGUGUAUAUAUCACACAAACUAGGAUCCACAUCUGAGUAAGAAUAUGCAGGAUUAUUCUUUCUGAGACUGUGUGACCUUUCUCAAUAUUAUGAAUUCUUAGUACAUUAAUUUUCUGUAAAUUUUGUGAUUUUAUUUUUCUUUAGAGCUUACUAGUAUCCAGUUUCACACAUGGGCCAGAUAUUAUGUAUUAAAUGUGACAAACAACUACGUUGGUUCCAUCUUCUUGCCAUAUUCUAUCAAGGAAUAAUAAACAUGGAGGUGCAGAUACCUAUGGUGUUCACCUACUGUCUCUAUUUUGUGAAUUUACUGAGCAUUUCUGGCCGAAGUGAGGAACUGAUAAUGAAGAGGGGGUCUCAAAGCAAAUCCCUGCAAUGCAGAGACCCUUGAGAAAAUUAUAAGAUUAUCCUGAAGGCUGCUUGGGUGAAGUUAAGGUAUAUGGAGCACAAUGUGGCAUUUCAAUCCCUGUGCACAAGAUGUCUUGGCUAAUAGAGACAACUUACACUUUCAUAUCAUCAUUACUGUGUGUGCAGCCUUCAAGUUCCACUCUGGUUCUUACGCACUAUAAAGGCACACGUGGCACUGUUGAACACUGGUUUAUCACGUCUAUCUAAUGGCUACUAUGAGGUGAGCAGCUUUAGCAUGAGGUCACCACCAUGAGCUUCUGCUUCUGAACAGACCCAAAGUAGUGUGCUCACUGACCAUGAACUGAAACCUCUAAAACUCCAUAGAACACAUGGAAGAACUCUAGAAUCAGGCCAUUCCUGAAUGGGUGUGUAGAGCAUUGUCUGAACACUGACUUUCAAAAGAGUAUUAGAAGUCUGCAUCAAGUUCUUAUUUGAGAGAUGAAGAAGUUGAGACCCAGAAAGAGAAUCAAUUGUCAGAGUUUUGAUCUCAUCGACACCCACGUGAAAGAGUGCACAGAAGAUGGCGUCUCUUUUCCCUGCCUCCACCCUCACGGUUGCAAUCACACUUGGGGGUCAGGGAGACGACAUCUCAGGCAGACAGAGGUCAGGCAGAGGAAACCUGAAGGUGCCACGGUCGCCGAUCAAAAGCCAGACCUCAGAACUUUCCUUUGGAAUCCUUUUGCUGCAUCUCGGUGGUGAAGUGAAAACACACAGCUUCCGGUCUGUGGGAACAGAGGCUGCCAAGCUCACCUCUUUCUGUGGAGCUUUCAAAGAGCACACUUCUCUUCUCUCUGGAGAUGAAAGGAAGGUUGUCACAGCUGUGUUGUGAAUCAAAAUUUUUCCAAGGAGAGUUUUCAGCUUUCAAGCAUACGUUUCUCUCAGUGUAGCAGUUUCCCCAGUUCCCUAGUAACAGCCUCCAGGAUCUCUCAAAGGCUGACAGGAACUUUGGGGACUGAAGAGCGUCGGGUGCUGAGUGUCCUUGGCUGAACAUUUGAACCAGGUCUUUUCUUUUUUGUUCGUGGGGUGAGAUUUUCAAAUGUGGAAAGCAGCCUUUGGGUUUUUGGAAUACUCCUUUGUAAGAAGAGGAACUAUUCUAUGGAGUAGAAUCUAUACUUCAACUUUGAGCACCUCAGUUUUCUUGUCAAAUUUAAAAAUAGCUUUCCCAUUUACAUACCUCGUAAGGGCAUUAUUAAUGAGAUCAGAUUUAAUCAGAUCUAAGAACAUCUGCCUAACACAGUAUUUUUCCCCAAACAAAUAAUGUUGAUGGAAAUAAACAAAUACAUAAAGUAAAAUACCUGCUUUAAAAUAAAUAUUCAAAUACGGAGGGAGUUGAAGUCAUGUGGACGGCAUGAUACAGGGCUGGAAUGGGAACCACAUUUGCAAUGAGACAGCAGUCACUGCUGCUCAGGAGGCCCUGCGUCACGCCUGUCCCUUGUGUUGUCUCACAGUGCUUCUGUACCAGGUGUCUGCUUCUCCCACUGUGAAAAUGAAGAAAGUUAGGCUCAGGAAUGUUUGAUGAAGUGACGUUGGUGAAUUGGGUUUCAGAAUUCCUCAUUCAUGUCUGCCAACCCUAAAUCACACACACACACACACACACACACACACACACACACACACACACACACACACACACACACACGUCAAUUGUGUAUGAGGCUGGAUACAUGGCUCACUGGAUAAAGUGCUUAAUGCACAAAUGUGAAGACCAGAAUUUGGAUACUCAGCACCCACAUAAAACCCAAAUGGGCACAGCUUCCCUGGUAGAAUCCCAGCAUUCAAAAGGUGGAGGCAGGGGAUCCCUGGAGCAAGCUUGGUAGGUCAACUAGGAGAAUUUGUGAGCUCUUGGUUCAGUGAAAGACUGUGUUUCAGUAAGUAAGCAGAGAGCAACUGAGGAAGAACCUGAUGUCAACCUCUGGCCUACACACACACACACACACACACACACACACACACACACACACAGACAUACACACACAGAAACAUCCACAAGACACAUACAUAGAACACACAUACAGACAGACACACAUGGGAACACACACACACGCACAGAUACACACACACACACACACACACACACACACAUGGGAACACACACACACAUACACACGCAUGGGAACACACACAGUGUGCACACAUGCACAAAUGUUUACAAAUAUGAGUAUACAAGUGUAUGGGCACCAUACACACACACACACACACACACACACACACACACACACACACACACACACAUUGUGUACUGUGUGCAUACACAGUUUAAGAUGAUUCGAAGUAGUUUUACCCCUCUCAUCCUGAGAGCUGGAGAUUGCCAGUAUUUCAGUCAUGCCUCUGCUGCCUGCCACCCUCAAUGCCUCCCUCCCUAACGAACAACCACCACCUUGAAGUGUGUGUGACCCCCAGAUAAGGAGGACACAAAAAUCACUCUGUUGUUAGAGGAGGAGUGGAGAGGGUCUCCCUGACAACAAUCCCCAGGAUUCAUAAUUGAAUGCUGUUGCACUCAGCCCAUCAUUACCAGGCAGCUUUCAUUCCUGCCUCUCUGGUCCUCCUCACAUUAUGACAGGCCUCUCACUGAAGUUUGGACAGACAACAUAUUGCUCACUGCCCACCGAGAGAGAAAGCACGGACUGUGUAUAAAAUCACAAAUUCAAGUUAAUCAAAUUCAGCACACAUCCAGCGAAAGUCUUUCCUGCACAUCAUUCUAGACACUCGGGCAGCUCUCACUGUAAAGGCAUUUCAUUGACCAGCACUCCGUGAUGCAGAAAAACAGAGAGCUCCAGAGGUGGGACCGGCAGGCAAGCCACUGUGGAAAUGAAAGCUUCAACCAAUGAGCAUUACCCACAGGCAGCAAACCCAGCCAACCCUGGGGAAAUCAAUGCAUUUCAAGUAAACUGGCAGAAAGAACGCUCGAGUGGAGUGGUUUUACAGUUUUCCUGCCGCUGAUGAGAGAUGGGGAGGAAGGGGAUGCCGCAGCCCCUGUCUGAUGAUGGUUUAUCUGCUGUGCUCCAGGUAGAAUCAAAGAGGUCACUGGUGUCACUGAAGAUCGGCAAGGGACAGCUGGAAGAUCUGAUAUGACAAUAAUAAUGACCAGUAGGUUAAGCCGGCACAGCUGGACUGCUGUGCACCGGCUGCAGUGUGGCCAGCAGUGUACCAGAUUCUUAUGUGUAAGGAGCCCUUGUGUGUGAUACAGAGGCUGCUGUUAUCCUCUGCUCAGUCUGGGGGUACAGCAGAGAGACCGGGGAUGGUGCUGGGUUCUCCAUGCCUUGGGUUAGUGGCUAAAGGUACCACAAGUGCUUCUGGGUUUCUGGGGCCUGAUUAACCUAUAUUCAAGCCCAUGUUGCCAUUUCACAUGUUCCUGGGCUAAUCUCUAGGAGCUGUGGUUUCACUUGAUUAAUUUUCCAACAAAUCACAUUUUCUGUUUUAGCUUUCAAACUGAAAAAUUGUUAUGCACGUCUUUGGUACAUAACUUAGAAGUGGAGGCUGCUUUCCCAGCCACACCAUCAUAAUUCAGGAGUGCUUCCAGGACAACAGAGCUUAGUCCAGAGGAAGUCUGUUUCAGAUGUGAUCUGCAAGUGAACACUUGUGGGUUUUCAAAGUGUGCAGGUAAUCUCAGGAAUGCAAGCUGUCUCAGUGCUACUCAAAUCUUAGCUGCAAACGUCCAUGCCACACAUGUUCUUUGCAUUCUGCUAAUGGGGGUCUCUGCAAACAAAACCUGUGCCCAGUCUCUUUCCCAGGGCUGGGGGACAAGUGUUCUCUGUGCUGUGAGUUCUGGGUAAAUUUGGCAAGCCUGUCAAACUUGUCUUCAUCCAGUGAGUUUGCAGGGGCCAAAUCUGUGAUUGCAGCCUCCAGGUAGUGGCACUUCUCAGAAGUGUUCUUACUAGGGAAGGGGACUAGGAGACCAGAUGGAUAGCACUAGGGAAUGGCUACAGGUCUCAGUGAAGUAACACAGAGGAAGAGUCUCAUGGAAGCUAUGGUGGAGGCUGGGUUCCCAUCCCUGAGAAGGAGGCUGGGGGCACCAUAAUGUGAUGUAUUGAGGGAUGUUAUAAUUGGUAUGUGGGCUGCUUGCUUUUCUAUGGAAAGUCACAUAGGGUUGACUGAAAGCCUGAGCUUUCAUUUCCCUAUCCCUUGUCCAUGGGUUUGGGGUAGGCUGGUUUCUCUAGGAAGCAAUACAUACAUACAUACAUACAUACAUACAUACGUACAUACACACAUACACACACUAUGUAUAUAUAUAUACAACAAUGUGUGUGUCUUAUGGGUUGUGACAGUAUCCUUUACCUGCCUUAGCAGAGCAGUAGGGAAGGAAGCUCAGCCAGUCAUGAUGGGAAGGCCGGAGUCCCUUUCUACCCACUUGGCUGACUUGGGAAAGUUGCCUUACAGAGAACCUUGGUUCUGCCAUCUGUGAAUGGGGCUGUGGCCCUUCUAGGGUGAUGCAGACCCUUCCUUUCUAGAGCCAUGGUUUAACCAGUGUGAGGGCCAUCAUUAUCUUAUUGCUUACCUUGUACUGCAAUUAAGAUACGUACAAGUAAAAGCAGGCAGAGCUGUGCCUUGGGCUGCUCUGGCAUUUGGCUUCUUCCUCCCCUCCUCUGGUUCCACUCUCCCACUUCUCUUGCUCUCCUGCUAAGCUGUGAAGCCUUUCAUGGGUCUAUGAGUAGAUCUCAGGCUCCCCGCAGCCAGGUGACCCUCUACUUGUGUGGUUGAUCCUUCCCUUAUGCUGCUUAAAUUGUAGUCUAUUCAAACAUGACUUCAUUUACAGCCUCCUUGGCCUCUGUCUAAAAGACAGACAGUUGUGACAAUGUCUCCAGACACUGACAAAUAUCCACAGUGGUGGAAAGUUGCCCCUGGUUUGCUGAUUUCGUUCUCUGUCACACCUUCAUACUGCUGUGUAUGUCUUUUGAUUCAUGCCCUUCUGGUCUUAUGCCUUUUCUUUCAAACACCCCAGUCUCUCCCUCUCUGGGAACUUGACUUAGACGAAUCCAGUCCAGGUGAAGUCUGGGGAGGGGUCCAGAGAAUGAUCCUUUCCCCAUCUGGAGUCCACACCUCCUCUAGGGUAAGCCACAGGACAGGGCAUGACAAGGUAGAUAGCUCCAGCUUUUCUUCUGCUGCAAGUUUAGCAAAGGGGUGCUCAACUGUGUGGGGGUGGGCACAACUGGGUGUCCUUGAUGCCCAAAUUUCAGUUAGACCUCAGUUGGGGACACCCAAGGCUAUCUCUGACUAUUGCUAGAAGGACACUGGCCUCAGUACUCCUAGAUUGAGCCUAAGCCUCGAUUCUGUCCUUUCCCCAGCAGGUGGCAUGGAGAACUCUUCACUGAAGAUAGGGACAAGUGUGGCAAAGUCCUGCUACAAAUGUGAAAUGCAAAAAUCGUUUUGCAAUUUGUUCUUCAAAUGCAAGACACAUGUUAUUUUAAAAGACCCGUUGCUAGGAAAUCCAAAAGAUGCCAUGUGAAGAGCUGAUUUGGGAUAUCGGAAGAAGCUGAAGAUUUUCUUGAAAUAAAACUAGAAGAGCUUCAUUUGUGAGGGUUCCACAUUACCACCCCACCCCCACUUCAUCGUCAACUGAGUUAUAAAGCUGAAACGAGCCUGAUCUCUUUUCUGAAUUAAAGACUGUCAGUGGUCAACCACUGCCUCUUACUUCUAAUUACCCAAGGGUCUCUUGAGGAAACAAAUAGGAAUGUUGUCUCAUGCUAACAGGAGAUUGCAUUUGCACAGCUCCUUGUGAAUGGAAGGCUAAUUCCGCCCUCAGUAAGUACAAGCCAAUCUUAACAGAUCCUGCCUACUCACCAGGUACACCUCACCAACCAGUGCAAUCAGAAAACAGAAGUUACUUAAAAUGUGUGGGAAUCACAUCCAGGUGACAAAGAUGUUAGUUAGUUUAUGUGACUUAGAAUAGCACCAAGCAUCUUGGCUAAACAUCUUGAUUUGCUGAAGAAAAUAAUUUGAACCUAAAGAUGGAUUCAUUAUGUAGCAGAAACAGAUACAAAUCGCUGCUUCUUAUUAAUUGGAAUCGUGAGUUAGAGCCAGGUAUCAUGAAUGUCACGAGCAGAGCACGGUGAGGACAUUAAGUCAUUCUACUUUAAGUUAGAGCUGCAUGCUGAUCCUGAUGUGUGGCACCUCUGUUCCCUACACACAGAUAUAUAGGUAUCAUACUGCUCUGCUUUCUGUCCAUCUAGAUUCAGAUCGUUCCCAAAUGACCUGACAUCAGUGAAAAGCAAAGUAGAUAGCUUUGGCGGACAUAGGGGCUGUGCUCACUGACACUCACUGGCAAAACACCCUGUGUUACUCUUUGCUUCCCGAUGUAUGCUUAUGUGCUAGGCAGACACGUAGACUUUUCUCUCGAGUCUUGAUGGAGGCAGACCUGAGCUCACACUGUGCUGGAGCAAAAGGCUUGGUUGUGAGAGAAGAGACUGGCUACAGUGCUCAGCUAAAGGGACUGUCACCGCCAGAGCUGGGAUAGGUGCAGUGGCUAUGGAAAGCAGUGGCCUGAUGGCUCAGUCACUCAGUGGAAUCCUGACAAGGAGGGAGGCAGAGAACCCAAGGUAUUGAUUCAGAAGUAUUUGUGGAAGCUUUGUGGCCUACAUAUCUCAGUUGUGCUGAUUGGGGACAGCUAAUGGGGCAGAUGUAUGUCAGGCAAUGGCAGUGCCUAUGGUGAAUGUCAAUGAGUAUGAGAGUCAGGACAAUACCAUCCCAUCCCAUCCCAUCCCAUCCCUGUGACUCAGCCCUGACUUCACCUCACUGUCACCUGGCCUUCCAAGGCUUUCUGUAAGAAAUCUGUCCUGCACACUGUUAUUUAAAAACAAAGAAAACCAUAAGAUAACAGGAACACUAGAGGUGACAAAACCCUGAGGAAUUAGCUCUUGACCUUCCUCUUGGAACCAAGGCUUGCUUGCCAGUUUUUGCCUCAAGAAGAUACAGGUCCACCUAUGAUCCUGAGUUGCCCCUCUUGCCAUUGUUAAGCUUUAGAAAGCCCAGGCAGGCAUCACCCCCUAGAAACGCCUCCAGCCUAAAGCCUCUUGCAGAAGACAACCACAUUCUGCUCUAUCAUCUCCCAUUACCCUGAAGGUUUCCCUUGCCAUGAGUCACUCGACCACAUAGAGCUGUGGAGCUCCUUGCCCAGUGCCCUGUCCCGGGUGCACAGGCAGCAGUACUCAGCCCCCAGUGUGGCCAAGGCUGUGGCUGCCAUGUCCCACCCACCCUUCAUUCCUGCUGCGACAGACAAUGCUCUGGGAUCCCAAGUCCUGCCUACAGAAGCUCUCAUCCCUGUGGCUUUCUCCACAUGGAGCUUUGACCUUUUCCUGGGGUGCUCAGCAGGCUGAUGUAGUUAUUACUCCAUUUACAAGCUUGUUUGGCAGGGUGUCAGCCAUCCUCAGGCCCCAUGUGUCUGUGAGUUUAACAUCCACUGUUAUCUUGCAGAGCUAAGACGCUAAGCCCAGGAGCGCAAAGGCCUCUGAUUCUGUGCCCCUUGGUCAGCUAAACUUAUCCUGAUGACCAGGGAUGUAACUAGUUGGGAACAUCGCAGCCAUGAUCACCCCUUCUGGUGCAUCUAAUAUUCCCAGUGUUUGAGAGCAGAGCAGAUGCACAGCCUGGACUCUUUUAAGAGAUAGGUCUACUCCACUUUCCAAAAGCUUGCUUGGACUAAGGUUCAGAGUUGCUAUGCUAUAGUUUAUUUGCACUUGAGUCAAGAGAUGUCAAUAUGCAUGGCAAUAAAUGUGCAAGUAGAAACACAAGUGUGUCCUCAGAAGAGACUAGAACUUUAACCAGACCACUAGAGCCUCAGAGCCUCUGAAAAUCAGAUCAAGUUUUGGCCAUGGCCAGAACUGUGGUGGCCAUUUAGCAUUUAUAUUCAAGGAGAUGAAACAAUUACUGGCAAAGGAGGGGUGUCCACUGAUGUUCUUCAUAUUCAGAGUUCAUUCUGCAUUCUAGGUGGCCUCUAGUGCUUUCAGAGGGCAGGAGUCUAGCCAGGCUUGAGGGAUGUUCUGCUUAGCAUGGAAGAGUCUGUUCAUGUUCUCCUACUUAGUCAUGUGGCCUGUCUGGAGGAACCGGGCAGCCAACCAGUAACUUCCAUGUCAGUACUUACAGAUAUGGUCUUUAUCAUCAUGUUCUUAGGACUCACUGUAGUUUCAUGAGGAUAGCUAGGAUACCUGGUCAAAUGGGUGUAGCUGGUUAUGUAAUGCCUGCUUAGAUCAAGGAAGGGCACUUGGAGGGUGGAGAUGCCUGGUAAGUUGAGAUACGCAUAAAAUGGGAGCCUAUUGUGUAUUCCAGAGACUUAAUACAGGAGGAAUUCUAGGUAUGGUUAACUAUCUGAUAAAUUGGGGACUCCAGUGUGAUGGGACAUAGGAUAUCACAGGAGACCCCAGUGAGGUAUGUGUGUGUGUGUGUGUGUGUGUGUGUGUGUGUGUGUGUGUGUGUGUGUGUGUAUGCAAUACCUGGUAAGAUGAGACACCUAGUAUAUGCAGGGUACCUGGUGGUGAGAAGGUAUUUCAUAAAGUGGGAGACCUUGUGCGCUGAGGAUAUCCAGUUAAGUGAGGACUCCUGGUAAAGUCAGUCUUCUCAAGCAAAAUAAAGAGUAAAUGAGAGAGGUGAAAGAGCCAUUUUUCAGGAAUGGAACAGCAACAUCUGGAGAAUCGAGUUGAUAUACCACCGCCAUCUUAAAGAAGGGAGCAUGGAAACCAGCCACUGGAAGAGAGACUUCCUAAGCAUUGAUGUCAUUUCAGGUCUCUCCAUCCUGCUCCCUAAAUUUCUGAUAAAGUCAGCUGGAAACAUAGAAAGCCGAACAUCUUCCAUGUCCUUAAGCAUUGUGUCUAUGUCUUAUGAGCUGUGUGAUCCAGGCCAUUUCUCUUGCCACGUGUUGCAGCUGAGGUCUAAGACAUGGACAAAACUGAGUAGACAAGGGUUGCUACUUGGCUUUAUAGGACUUUGGGAAAAGUAUUAUGUACUCUGGGUCUCUGCUUUUCAACAAUAUGGUUUUGAGAAUGACUUCACAAUGCUUGAAUAGGUUGGCAUGGAAAAGACACUUUUUCCUUGGCAGGGGCAAGGAUGUAAAUGCCAGAAGCAGCACUUUGUCCCUUGGGGUAAGCCAGGCUGGGGCUUUGCAGGUAUAGCUCUGCCCUCUCACAACACCUGCCUACAUAUGUGGUGUGGAGUAUGUUCGUUUCUCUGACCUGCAGUUUUCAUCCUUCCUUACUAUGUUUCUCUUAGAAUGCUGAUAUGAGGCUAUGUCCAUGUGCCCAAGGAUGGGGCUGCCCAUGCAGUAUUAGUCAGUGAUGGGAACAACAUUCAUGAUAAUAAGAUCCAAUGAAGUACAAGCUGCAGGAAGGUUGCUCUGCUUUGCAGCAGAUACUAACAUGGCCACUGAGGAUGACAUUCAGCCACUUCCCCUACAGUCACCACAGCCAUGCUGUUCACUGGACUGUUCUACCCACUAAAUAUGCUGAUGAGCCACACAGCCCCAAUCCAUUAGUUCCAAUUCUGCAUACAAUCACUUUUGAUCAUGACUAGUAUGAUGCCUGAAAUGGCCUUGGUCUCCUUACCCUGGAGAAAUAUGGAUGUAGUAGUUCUUGAGAAUCUAUAGCAAGGGCAGCAGCCUUAGAAACAAAGGCUCUUCCAUUUGGAAAGACAAAACUGGGAUAUGGUGGGUAGCUGGGCUAGCAUGAAUGAACUAACUUGCCUAGACAGACUGAAACUAUGUCUUUACCAAAUCUUAAGAGAUGGAAGUUUGGGCAUCCCUUGAGUUUAAAAUGCAUCAGACCAACACCCCUCCCUAUUUUAUACAAUGGUUUAUGAUGCUUAAAUCCUGAGAGGUUGAACUAAAAGAGAAAAUGAUAAAAAAUAUGCUAUGAAAUGGCCUAUGAAUAAUUCUGACAGUAACCAGAGCCAUGCCAUUUAAUGUUCCUACUUACACCCAUCACAGUUCUCUUGGCCCCAGGAAGUCUCCAGCAAUCCUAUGAAGUAAACCUUUCAAUUAUCCUGUCCCAGGGACACAGUUCAAAGUGUUACAGACAUCUGUCCAAGAUCACACAAUGAGAAAAUAGCAUGACUAAAUCUGAUUCCAGGUUAGGUUGACCUCCAAUCCUCUACUUUCUAUAUGGCCAGCUCGUUUAACUCUUGUUGGGGAGUGUUUGGGCAGCUUCUAUACAUUCUUCCUAGAACUAUGGCCUUAGAGAAUGUUCUGGAUUAUCUUUUUGAGAUGAAUGCUGUGUUUAACUAAGAAAAACAAUGCUAGUAAUUUUUAAAACAUUAAAGUUCAAGGUCAAGGUGGGCAGUGUCAAGUUGGAGAGACUAAACUUGUUGUUAUUAUUCCAGGCAGGGUUCUCACCUGUAGUAUCCACUGAAAUCAUCAGACUGAACUUCUGACUAGUUAAGUCAGUAUUUCUGGGGCUUUGAUGCCAGGAUCCCAUAGACUGGGAAUAUUUUAAAGCUGCAGGGAGAACUCAAACAGAGUGCCUCUGCAUCCUUUGAUGGCUCAAGAUGGACAUUUAAGCAGCUAGGGCUGUGUGAUUCAUGAUUCUUUCCC
This is a long non-coding RNA of Peromyscus californicus insignis, 19586 nucleotides long. RefSeq lists it as uncharacterized. Lineage: Eukaryota; Metazoa; Chordata; Mammalia; Rodentia; Cricetidae. The record is from RefSeq and is a predicted model, not a curated record. The transcript has 7 exons.